CUCGGAGGGGGGGUGGUCCCUCAGCCGGAUUGCGAGAAGGCGCAGGCCAGGAUGAGGGACCCCACCUGUGCAUG
Myotis lucifugus (little brown bat) is the source of this 74-nucleotide non-coding RNA. Lineage: Eukaryota; Metazoa; Chordata; Mammalia; Chiroptera; Vespertilionidae. The record is from Rfam.